Molecule: long non-coding RNA, 108 nt
Organism: Gavialis gangeticus (Gharial)
Lineage: Eukaryota; Metazoa; Chordata; Crocodylia; Gavialidae
Exons: 3
Source: RefSeq, a predicted model, not a curated record
UUACCUUCAGUAAGUGUCCCACGCUGCACUGAAAGAGGGAGGCAGGACCAAAGCGGCGUGCUCACGGACCGCUACUCCUUAGAGGAAACAUUGCUCUGGCUGGGAUCA